GUAAUCUAUGUACAAGGAACUACUUGACUAUUAUUUACAACGCUUACACGCAGUGAGACAGUAGAUACGAUUCUGUUUAUGGCAGAGACCCAGACAAUCAUCAGCAUAGAGUGAGCUGGAAAUGAAUGCUGGAUAAAAACAAGAUAAUCGUCCUUCUACUCUCAACGCAUGUGUCUCCUUUGCAUAUAUUUUUCGAAAAUAGCCAAACUGUUCAAACUUACUGAAUUUUGCCUCAUGCACAAGGCACAAAUGUGAAGUAGAUUGGUAUCGACGUAUGUCUUCUGUUCGUCCGACAGGCUAGAUUUGAAUGUAAUUUUGUACAUAAAUACUAUGUUAUAAACAACAGACGUGAUUAACUUUUAAUAAAAACCCGUGUAUGCU
Molecule: long non-coding RNA, 381 nt
Organism: Saccoglossus kowalevskii
Lineage: Eukaryota; Metazoa; Hemichordata; Enteropneusta; Harrimaniidae
Source: RefSeq, a predicted model, not a curated record